UACGUAGGGUGCAAGCGUUGUCCGGAAUUAUUGGGCGUAAAGAGCUCGUAGGCGGUCUGUCGCGUCUGCUGUGAAAUCCCGAGGCUCAACCUCGGGUCUGCAGUCGAUACGGGCAAACUAGAGUAUUGCAGGGGAGACUGGAAUUCCUGGUGUAGCGGUGAAAUGCGCAGAUAUCAGGAGGAACACCGGUGGCGAAGGCGGGUCUCUGGGCAAUAACUGACGCUGAGGAGCGAAAGCGUGGGGAGCGAACAGG
This 253-nucleotide ribosomal RNA is filed under the name uncultured bacterium. RNAcentral's name for it is "partial 16S ribosomal RNA". It matches the Rfam family "Bacterial small subunit ribosomal RNA", at positions 524 to 776 of the family's 1533-position model. The record is from RNAcentral.